RNAcentral lists this transfer-messenger RNA (68 nucleotides) under bacterium TMED15. RNAcentral's name for it is "partial transfer-messenger RNA". It matches the Rfam family "transfer-messenger RNA", at positions 305 to 374 of the family's 374-position model. From Rfam's summary of the family: Bacterial tmRNA, also known as 10Sa RNA or SsrA, is named for its dual tRNA and mRNA-like properties. Its role is to liberate the mRNA from a stalled ribosome. The record is from RNAcentral. RNAcentral also lists the same sequence under 1 other name.
UGACAAACAUGUAGUAGCUUUUUUUGAGAUGUUUUCGGACGCGGGUUCGACUCCCGCCACCUCCAAUU